This is a long non-coding RNA of Bos taurus (domestic cattle), 3047 nucleotides long. Lineage: Eukaryota; Metazoa; Chordata; Mammalia; Artiodactyla; Bovidae. The record is from Ensembl.
GGCAGUCACGUGUCCUGAGGACGUCUGCGUGCGACGUCCGCGCUCCCGCGCUCCCCAGUGGGAUGUGUGCGUUUCGCACCUUGCGGCGUGGGUAAGGGUACCCUGAGGGCCGCACGUUAGACAGCGUGCCCUCUGGAGCUGCUCCUCCGCGGGGCCACGCUGACAGAGGCCCUGGCCGUUUCGACCCUGCGCGCUCCGGAUCGGACUCCAGGCUCAGAGAAGUUUUCCGCCUGGGCCAGUGGACAGUAACUGAUUGGAAUAUAAUCAUUCGCUCAUUAUGUCACUUUCCCAAACUUACUCUGCAUCAGGCCAGCACUAAUCAGGAGCUCCACCUCAAAGCUCAGAGUCCUGUUGGGAUAAUGUGCAUAAUGACUGUCUCAGACUGUGAGAUGGAAACCAGGCCGUCCCUGGUGUUCUUCUCAAACUUAGGUAAAUAUGCCUUAGAACACAGAGGCAUAGGGGGCACCUUCUGAGGGCUGCCUUUCCGGGCCCAUUGCCGUAAUCCAGGAGGUAAGUAGUGUACACAUAGCCAAGUAUGUGAUGGUUUCUAUGAUAUGUGUGAAGAAUUACAUAGGGACACACCCACAGACCCGCUUUCUGCCCCCAGGCGUACAGAGUGAUCAUGCCUCCCCCAGUUUCCAAAUCACCUAAGGGAGGUCUUUGGAGAAGAGAUUUUGGUGGAGGAGGAUUAGAAACGCACUUUCAGGUCCAGUUAAUAUCAAUAAGUUUAAGGAUAUUUUCAGAAUUUUUUUUUUUAAUUGGUAUUAUAAGAUUUAUCUCUGAAGCUCUCAUUUUUUUAAAGAAUGCAAUUCAACUAGGAAUGUGUUUAUUUUUCACCUAUAAAAUUCAGUUUCCAAAAGUCAGAUGGAGUUUAAAACAUUUACCAACUUUUAAGUGCUCUAAUGAAAAUGUAAUUUUAAAUUGCAAUUACAUUAGUGAGACACGUGGGACUUCUCUAGUGGUCCAGUGGUUAAGACUCUGAGCUCCCAAUGUAGGGGUCGUGGGUUCAAUCCCUGGUUGGUAAACUAAGAUCCCACAUGCCGUGCAGUGCGGCAAAAAAAAGUUAAAAAAAAGUGAGACAUGUUUAUUAUUCUUUUUUAUUAGGGAAAAGGGCAGAAUCCUAAUAAGCGGAAGUAGCUCACGUGAGCAGCUGAGUGAGUGUUGUUCUGGGCCUUUCCUGUUCAAAGUGCUGUUUCCAUCUUGUAGAGAUGGACAGCCUACCCCCAGCCAAGGACAGAGAUGAAAGCGGCGCCCAGCAGCCCAGUCAGAUGGAUGGAGUGGCCUGAUUUCCCGAGGCAGCUUCGUGCUGAGUGCCCAUCACUGGGAGUGAGUCAGACAUACAGCUCAAGGUCUGCAGUAACAGAGUCAGGGAGACAAGGCAUAUACCACAAACUCAUGAAAAGUAACAGUACAGAAAGUAAGUAACGAUACAAGGGAGGCAGUAUGUUAUUAAUUGUCAGAGAACACAAGGUAGGAAGUCUGGGGCCCUGGAGAGCCUAGCAGAGUUGCCUCAGCACUGGAAUACUUUGUGCAAGAAGCAGGAACUGGAUAGGUGGGGGGAGGGUGCUGGGUACAGGCAGCUGAUGAACAAAGAUGGAAUGCAGGGAUCAACGGGCAAGUGGCGGUUAGGGUAGAGCUGGGUGCAGGCAGUGCCAAGGGAUUGGUGGGCACAGGUCCUCCAGGCCACCUGGGAGUAGUGGGAAGAAUUGGGAAAGUUGGGCAGGAGCUGGACAGGGAGGAAACAGACUGCUGGGUCUGGCUUCCCUCUGGUGUCUAACCAUGAGCUUCUGAAGGCUUUUCCGUAGGAAAAGUUAUGAAACCCGGUGUUACAUUCUCAAGAUCACAGGACUUCUCAUCACAAAUUGUUCAUAUUAUUCUGUUAGAAACCAGUUCCAGUGCUGAAAGAGGGUUUUCAAGAGGGGUAGCCCCAGAGCCCCCUCAGAAUGGAGGGUUUGAGCUGGAAGAGGCUUAUGAGAGCAGCCAGUGCGGGGCCCCUUUUGCAGGUGAGGAAACUGAGAAUGUGGCCUCGUGGAGCAGCAGCCUCUGAACGGCUCCCUGGCUGUCUCUCCCCUCAUGCAGGGGCCUCCUCCCACCUCUGGGCUGCUGCCCUUGAUCUUUGCCCAGAGGUCACGUCCCUCAGGCCUCAGGUCAGAGGUGUGCGCCCCCCCCACCCUCCUGCCUGCCUCUUCGUCCCCUCACUCUGCUCUCUGUACUGCUCCCUGGCUGUGCCUGUAAGUGCUCGUGCGUGCACUGUGGCUCCUCCAUAAGCCUCACCAGGCAGGGGGCCUGUGGUCCUGCUCUCUUCCGGCACUUGUGUCCGGCAUGGACACAGCCCCUGGAUGAAAGAACAAAGCUUUGGAAGCCCUGGUUCGGGUAUGUCUCCUUCACAUCUCUUCCUUCCGCGGCUCAAUGUAAAGAGCAGCAAUGCGGCCAGACCCUGAGAGCAUCUCCUGGGUGCUGCUCCUCCAUCUCAAUGGGUGUUCUUUCACAUCUCAAUGGUCCUUCUUUCACACAGGCUGGAACGUGGCAGCCGGGGCCUGCUUACUGUUCUCUGUCCAACCCUGUCCUGUGCCUGGUACCCAGCAGGUGUUCACCGAGCACUUGGAAUGGAUGGUGCAAGCCCCCUCUGAUGUGGAGCCAGUGUCUGUAAUCGCUUUACUUCUCAGAACCAUGCGGUAGUUAGCAUUUCCACUUGCCGGGCACUGUCCAUCUUUUCAUCAAGGAGGUUUAUGUCUACAUAGUAGGGAUAUCCUUGAGACACAUCAGUGCAAUGGGACAAGCUCACCCUCUUUUUACCGUCUGGCUUGGGUUCCCUGCGUGAGGUGGAUACUCUCUGUUGAUGGAAAAAAAAAAGAAAAGCAAGUGAACGUUUCUAGUGAGCGGCCUUAGGUAAGUUCAACAGCACGCAGCACAAACUCCGAACUCAGGUCAGUUAUACUUCAUGGGAUGCUCUUUCUUUGGAUCAAUUGUGCUUCGUUUGUGAAUGAAAGGUUCCCCCCCCUUAUUAUUUCCAUUCUUGUCUCAUCACAACCUAAAAUCUCUCCCAA